GAUGAACGCUGGCGGCGUGCCUAAUACAUGCAAGUCGAGCGAACAGACGAGGAGCUUGCUCCUCUGACGUUAGCGGCGGACGGGUGAGUAACACGUGGAUAACCUACCUAUAAGACUGGGAUAACUUCGGGAAACCGGAGCUAAUACCGGAUAAUAUAUUGAACCGCAUGGUUCAAUAGUGAAAGACGGUUUUGCUGUCACUUAUAGAUGGAUCCGCGCCGCAUUAGCUAGUUGGUAAGGUAACGGCUUACCAAGGCAACGAUGCGUAGCCGACCUGAGAGGGGGAUCGGCCACACUGGAACUGAGACACGGUCCAGACUCCGACGGGAGGCAGCAGUAGGGAAUCUUCCGCAAUGGGCGAAAGCUUGACGGAGCAACGCCGCGUGAGUGAUGAAGGUCUUCGGAUCGUAAAACUCUGUUAUUAGGGAAGAACAAAUGUGUAAGUAACUAUGCACGUCUUGACGGUACCUAAGCAGAAAGCCACGGCUAACUACGU
This 496-nucleotide ribosomal RNA is filed under the name uncultured bacterium. RNAcentral's name for it is "partial 16S ribosomal RNA". It matches the Rfam family "Bacterial small subunit ribosomal RNA", at positions 28 to 506 of the family's 1533-position model. The record is from RNAcentral.